GGGAAUGCUUGUGUGUUUGUGAAUUGGGGGAGGGUAUUAUUGGGGCAAGAUAGUGGGCUCGUGGUAACAAGAAGUUAAACCGGAACUUCACACUGAGGCACUGGAUAUAAUAGGUAAGAAAUUCUGCUGUGAGAUCUGACACCAAAAUGAGGAAAUGCCAAAGGAGGCUGUCAAGAACGGUUUGGGGUUGCCAGGGUUUGAGGGGAAGGGGAUGUGAGGAGUGACGGUUCCAUGACGACAGGUUUCCUUCCUGGGUAAUGAAAAUGUUUUGGGGCUUGAUAUGGGUGUUGCUUGCAAAACACUGUGAAUGUACCAAAUGGCAGGGAACUGUAUACUUGAAAAUGGCUAACUGUAUGUUAUGUAAAUUUUGUCUCCAUGUAUUGGGAAAAAAGAAGAGUUUAGGUGGCUCUAAAACUCACAAGGAGUAUAAGAAGGGUUAGAGAAGACACUGAGGGAUUUUUUUAUGGGGAGAGUUGCUGCUGUGCUGAAUCUGCCCUCACCUAGCUCCGGCCAAGGGGCCGAUGGGCGGUGCCACUGUGACCUCCAGACAGCUUCUUGGCCAAGGUGACUCCAAGUCCUUCUCUGCCAGGGAGCACCAGGACUGAUGUUGACACUUGCCAGAGGAAUCUGGAAGUCAAAGUCCACACCUAUUGGCCUGGAACUCUGGCUGAGGCUUGCUCACAGGCGAAGCAGCAGUCUGAGGAAGCAUGAGUGGGUUAAGUUGCCUAAGUUGCCGAGAGGGAGAUUGGUGAAGGGGCUCAGGGACCCCCUUCCGCCCCCACCAGGAGAGCAGAAGUGGCUGCUUGGACCUUUCAUUUGGUGCAACUUUGAGGCAGGACUCACACCCUGGAUCUGUCAUUCCUGAAUGAAGCCUGCACCAGCGCCCUCAGACCAGGCUUCAUUAGAUCCAACUUAUUCCUAUGAACUGGCCUCUGAUCUUAAGCUCCUCUUCCAGAGAAAGGACAUAGAUAAGUAAAAUGUGCCCUUGCAAUGCUCUCGAUGUAUCAGGAAUUUCUUCAUUCUUAGAGGAAUCUCUAUGCUCUUUUACAUUCUGUAAAAACUCUUAACUGGUGCUAAAUCACCAUGUAGUAUAUACAAUGAACUUGGUCUCUCUCUACUGGUUAGUCCCUUUUAUUACCAUGGCCAGUGGUCUCCGGGAAGACAAUACAAUAGUCAGUUUUCCCCACAUCACAGUGAAGGGAAAUAGCCUGUUCCAAUGCUGGAUAUGCUAUAGGCACCCAUGAACUUGGUCUGCCCAAGUGACAGAACUUGUGGCAAUCUUCACAUUUCACUUUCACCCACAGAACUGGAGCAAGCUCCCCUUCCCUGUGGUUACGCUCUUCCUGGAGAGUGGGGAAAUCCCUUGCAUCACCUUGACUAGCAUCUCUAUAGCAAAUGCCACCUAGGUGUCAACCUUGCUAAAUGGCUCAGCUAUACAGCAAGUAUGCAGAAGCUGUGCAAUUCCUCCAGGGCAGACUUACUACACUGACACAGGACCAGACACAAAAGGGAGGUAACCGGUCUCCUUGAACACUACCUACCACCUGCCACCCCAAUAUUACUUACUGGUGUCCUGACAUGAACAUCACUAAAAAAUAUUGAGGACAGAGCAGUAAAUGCAGUUCAUGGUGAGGAAUACCAAGCCCCAGUUUCUGGUACACCCAGGUAAACAGGCCAACACCUUAUAAGAAUAAUGUCUCAGCUGACUGCAGGGACAGGGACCACCUGCGGGGUGGGCCGGUCUCCCUUUAUGUAAAACUAAUGGCACCUGGAGCCAAAUAGCACCACUAUUAAAUGUCUUUUUUUUUUUUUUUUUUG
This 1818-nucleotide long non-coding RNA is filed under the name Homo sapiens (human). RNAcentral describes it as "HSALNT0303565". Lineage: Eukaryota; Metazoa; Chordata; Mammalia; Primates; Hominidae. The record is from RNAcentral.